Molecule: ribosomal RNA, 465 nt
Filed under: Vreelandella stevensii
Lineage: Bacteria; Pseudomonadati; Pseudomonadota; Gammaproteobacteria; Oceanospirillales; Halomonadaceae
Description: partial 16S ribosomal RNA
Rfam family: Bacterial small subunit ribosomal RNA
Source: RNAcentral
ACUACGGGUGGCAGCAGUGGGGAAUAUUGGACAAUGGGCGAAAGCCUGAUCCAGCCACGCCGCGUGUGUGAAGAAGGCCUUCGGGUUGUAAAGCACUUUCAGUGGGGAAGAAAGCCUUGGGGCUAAUACCCUCGAGGAAGGACAUCACCCACAGAAGAAGCACCGGCUAACUCCGUGCCAGCAGCCGCGGUAAUACGGAGGGUGCGAGCGUUAAUCGGAAUUACUGGGCGUAAAGCGCGCGUAGGCGGUCUGAUAAGCCGGUUGUGAAAGCCCCGGGCUCAACCUGGGAACGGCAUCCGGAACUGUCAGGCUAGAGUGCAGGAGAGGAAGGUAGAAUUCCCGGUGUAGCGGUGAAAUGCGUAGAGAUCGGGAGGAAUACCAGUGGCGAAGGCGGCCUUCUGGACUGACACUGACGCUGAGGUGCGAAAGCGUGGGUAGCAAACAGGAUUAGAUACCCUAGUAGUC